UUGAACGCUGGCGGCAUGCCUUACACAUGCAAGUCGAACGGUAGAGUAGCAAUACUCGAGAGUGGCGAACGGGUGAGUAAUAUAUCGGAACGUGCCCAGUCGUGGGGGAUAACGUAGAGAAAUUUACGCUAAUACCGCAUACGAUCUAAGGAUGAAAGCGGGGGACUCGCAAGGGCCUCGCGCGAUUGGAGCGGCUGAUGUCGGAUUAGCUAGUUGGUGGGGUAAAGGCCUACCAAGGCGACGAUCCGUAGCUGGUCUGAGAGGAUGAUCAGCCACACUGGGACUGAGACACGGCCCAGACUCCUACGGGAGGCAGCAGUGGGGAAUUUUGGACAAUGGGGGCAACCCUGAUCCAGCCAUUCCGCGUGAGUGAAGAAGGCCUUCGGGUUGUAAAGCUCUUUCAGCCGGAACGAAACGGUACGCUCUAACAUAGCGUGCUAAUGACGGUACCGGCAGAAGAAGCACCGGCUAACUACGU
RNAcentral lists this ribosomal RNA (478 nucleotides) under uncultured bacterium. RNAcentral's name for it is "bacterial SSU rRNA". It matches the Rfam family "Bacterial small subunit ribosomal RNA", at positions 30 to 506 of the family's 1533-position model. The record is from RNAcentral.